This 876-nucleotide ribosomal RNA is filed under the name uncultured bacterium. RNAcentral describes it as "bacterial SSU rRNA". It matches the Rfam family "Bacterial small subunit ribosomal RNA", at positions 28 to 896 of the family's 1533-position model. The record is from RNAcentral.
AUUGAACGCCGGCGGAAUGCUUUACACAUGCAAGUCGAACGGCAGCACGGGAGCUUGCUCCUGGUGGCGAGUGGCGGGCGGGUGAGUAAUAUAUCGGAACGUAUCCAAUAAUGGGGGAUAACUAUCCGAAAGGAUAGCUAAUACCGCAUACGCCCUGAGGGGGAAAGCUGGGGAUCUUCGGACCUGGCGUUAAUGGAGCGGCCGAUAGCUGAUUAGCUAGUUGGUGAGGUAAAGGCUCACCAAGGCGACGAUCAGUAGCUGGUCUGAGAGGACGACCAGCCACACUGGAACUGAGACACGGUCCAGACUCUUACGGGAGGCAGCAGUGGGGAAUUUUGGACAAUGGGGGCAACCCUGAUCCAGCCAUUCCGCGUGAGUGAAGAAGGCCUUCGGGUUGUAAAGCUCUUUCGCAAGGGAAGAAAACUUAGUCUCUAACAUAGACUGAGGUUGACGGUACCUUGAUAAGAAGCACCGGCUAACUACGUGCCAGCAGCCGCGGUAAUACGUAGGGUGCGAGCGUUAAUCGGAGUUACUGGGCGUAAAGCGUGCGCAGGCGGCCUUAAAAGUCAGAUGUGAAAUCCCCGGGCUCAACUUGGGAACUGCGUUUGAAACUCUAAGGCUAGAAUAUGUCAGAGGGGGGUAGAAUUCCACGUGUAGCAGUGAAAUGCGUAGAGAUGUGGAGGAAUACCAAUGGCGAAGGCAGCCCCCUGGGAUAAUAUUGACGCUCAUGCACGAAAGCGUGGGGAGCAAACAGGAUUAGAUACCCUGGUAGUCCACGCCCUAAACGAUGUCUACUAGUUGUUGGUGGAGUAAAAUCCAUGAGUAACGCAGCUAACGCGUGAAGUAGACCGCCUGGGGAGUACGGUCGCAAGAUUA